RNAcentral lists this transfer RNA (113 nucleotides) under Candidatus Bathyarchaeota archaeon. Its description in RNAcentral is "tRNA-Pro". The record is from RNAcentral. Lineage: Archaea; Thermoproteati; Candidatus Bathyarchaeota.
GGGGCGGUGGUCCAGCUUGGCUAAGAUGCCGGCCUCGGGAGCCGGAGAUCGCGGGUUCAAAAUGGUUUCAGCCAUGAAGCCGUGAAGCCAUGAAAAUCCCGCCCGCCCCACCA